This is a long non-coding RNA of Talpa occidentalis (Iberian mole), 2199 nucleotides long. RefSeq lists it as uncharacterized. Lineage: Eukaryota; Metazoa; Chordata; Mammalia; Eulipotyphla; Talpidae. The transcript has 3 exons. The record is from RefSeq and is a predicted model, not a curated record.
GUUUCCUAAUUACCGUAAGAGUGUAAUGUAGCCCUCAGGUCGUGUGUGUGUGUGUGUGUGUGUGUGUGUGUAUGCGUGUGCAUGCGCUUGUGUGUGUAAUCAAGAUGAGGCAGUAACUCUCUAUUAUUAGCUAAGAGUUUUAAAAAUCAUUAAAGGCUUUGCUGUUCACAGUAGCCAAGGUAUGCAAACAAGGUUAGCCACCUUCUAUUGUUAUAGUGAAAAGAAGAGGGAAAGAAGGUAAAAUACAAUCUGAGGGCUUGAAGAGUUGAACUGAAUUGCACAGACCCAGAAAAACUGCUGCUGCUGCUGCAAUUCUUUACAAAUCCCUCUACUGACCAUAAUUUUAAAAGUGAUCCUAUGGGGAAAACAAAAGAGAAUAUAAACAAUUGGGACUGGAUCAAACCAAACUGCUCUGCACAGUGAAAGACAUAGCUAAAAUGAAGAAACACUCUGCUCAAUGGAAGAAAGUAUUUCCACACCAUACGUCUGACAAGGAGCUGAUAUCAAAGGCCUACAAGGAGCUGAUAUCAAAGGCCUACAAAGAGCUCAUACAACUCAACAAAAUGAAAAGAAAUAUCCCAAUCAAAAUAUGGGCAAAAGAGCCCACUUUGCAAACACAGUCAUCACAUGCUUUGUUCAACUGCUAGCCUUUCCAAAAGGAAAGAUUAGGAGGUGGCAAUUGUAUAUGACAUUACAGUAGACAGACGGAACUGAAUCAAUCAAGAAGCACAGAGAAUAGGGGAAUAUGGAAAGUGAAGUUUGAAUUAAAAAACAGACCUCCAUUAUUUUAAAAAUGUGGUCAUCUUGAUACUUUCAGAAAGUGGUGUAGUUUAAUCUGGCUAUAAGUCUGGGCUUUAGAGUCAGAUAUAUUUGGGUACAUAAUCCUCUUUGACCAGCAGUUACUAGUUUAUUGUGGGACAUGUUACUUUUUAAAAUCUCAUUUUCUCCCUGGUUGAGUUGUAUAAAUAAAAAUUUAAAUGUAGAAGUAUGCAAAGGCUUUAGAAAAAUGUCUGACUUUAAUAGAAAGUACUACGUAAAAAGUAACUCCUGUUACAUAAGUUCUCUUGCCAAGUCAGCUCACGCAGUUCUUCUAGCCUAGAGAGCCUACUAUUUUUUUCUAAUACUUGCUUUGGGAAACUGAGCAUUCAAAUGUCAACUCUAUUCAAAUACCACCUCCUUAUAUACACUAUGCAGAUGUUUCUGUAAUUCGUAGUUUAUGCAUAAUGAUUAUUACAAUGCUUUUCACAUUUUCUUGUAAAGCUCCUUUUUCCCCCACUAGAUAUUAUAAAUUUCUUGAGACAGAGUCCAUGUCUUACAACUUUGUAUUCUAACACUUAAAACAGUAUUGUAACAGGCAUUUCAUCAAUAUCUGUGACUCACUAAGUAUUUCAUAAUUAGCAGGUUGUUUCUUUUGCUAUAUUUGACUUCUUUUAGGAUAGCACCUAUGAUGUACCCCAAACCCUUGGAACUUUAUUACAUGAAUGUAGGGCUAAAUACACAGAGUUGAAAUACAGAAGUGUAAUUAUAAAUUCAAGAUAGGUAACAAAGUAGUUAAUGCAGAAAUCUGGUAAUCUAAGGAAGGAAAAUACCAAAGAAUGCCCGGAUAUCAUCCAUAAUCACUGAGAUGGCAUAUUUGUCUCACUGGAAUGGCAACUGUAGGAGCUGCUUACUUUUGCUAAUAAAUAAUACCCUUAAAUUUGUCACUAUGCUAUCAGAAUUCUUACUGAAAUACUGUUCAAAUUAUUGAAUAGCAGGAGAGAACUGUUAGUUUUAAGAAGAGUAAGGAUAAAAUAACAAUAUAAUUAAAAAGCUAUUUCCCUAUAAGAAACAAAUAUGCUACUAAAUGAGAACAGAUAUACUGAGGAUCUUAAAACAUGGUAAAAAGUACAAUGAAAACAUUACUAUGUAGAUAGUUUCCAUCAUUUCCCCCCUCCUUACCAUGAUGAAUUUCAUAUUCUUUGGUUCCUUGACCUUUAAAUACUGCUAGACAUGGCUGAAAAAUGUAGAGAUUACUACAGAUGUCCAGUGCAGAGGAACAGUCAAAUUUGCCAAUCUAAAGUAGAAAAACAAGGUUCAACUUGAAGAAAACACAAUGUAUCCAUUCAACUUUUAAAUAUCCGUAAAGAUAAGUUAAAAAUACACUUCUCUAACAAUACAGUUUCUAAAAGAAAGUUAAUAGGUCAUGAAAAGAAAUUCACA